RNAcentral lists this ribosomal RNA (468 nucleotides) under uncultured bacterium. RNAcentral describes it as "partial 16S ribosomal RNA". It matches the Rfam family "Bacterial small subunit ribosomal RNA", at positions 28 to 507 of the family's 1533-position model. The record is from RNAcentral.
GACGAACGCUGGCGGCGUGCUUAACACAUGCAAGUCGAACGGACAGGCCAUGCUUUUGCUGGCUGCACGAGAGACGAAGGGGUGAGAACCACGGGAGUACCCUGCCCUUGCCUUUCGGGUAACUUCAGGAAACUAGGGCUAAUACCGGAUAGGAGCUCAUGCUGCUUGGUAGUGGAUGGUAAUUUACGGCGUUUGGGGAUGGCAUCGCGGCUUAUUGGCUUCUUGGUGGGGUAGUGGCUUACCAAGGCUAGGGCGGAUCGCCGGCCUGAGAGGGUGACCGGCCACAGUGGGCCUGGGAUACGGCCCAGACUGCAACGUGAGGCAGCAGUGGAAAAUAUUGCACAAUGGGCCGAAGCCUGAUGCAGCGACGCCGCGUGCGGGAUGACGGCCUUCAGGUUGUAAACCGCUUUCGACUGUGACGAAGCGUGAGUGACGGUAAUUGAUAAAGAAGCACCGGCUAACUACGUG